AAAAAAAAAAAAAAAAAAAGAAAGAUUAUUUAAGCUUAAUUAUAUACAUGCUCCAACGUAUUAACCAAUUCAUUCUGCGGUCCAAGGUUGGUGACAUUUGGUAAAAAGCUCAACAUGAAAAAUGGCCAGUUUGGCAACCAAUGAAGCUCUCUCCUUUUCUUUUCUCCCCCACCCAUCAUUUGGCAGCUAGAUCCACUCAUGGGUUUUGAAUUAUUUCAUAUACAAUUCAAUCUGACCCACUCGCCUACCUCUAACAUGCUUCCCAUUCUCAAUUCUCAUCAACAAACCUUUUUGUUGGGCUGUGGUACAAAGUUUUAAAUUGACACGGAAUAUAUUUUCCACUCUUUUUUCAUGCGUCCUCAAUUGUUUACUCACUCACAUUGCUGUUUAAAUAUGUGUGUUCUUGCAGUUCUUUUGUAGGCUCAUAAGCUGUUUGUUAAAAUGCCUAAAAGACUAGAACUUGAGUUGGCUCUAUUCAACUGGCACAUUUGGAGAUAGGAAGAGUGAGCCAUGCUGGAGAGGCAGGGCACAUGCUAGAUUUACCAGCAAGAUGGUAAGUUUUAGCAUGUGCUCUUCUUCUCCAACUUGGAUUCUCUUCCUUUUGUAAACAACAUUGAAAACUUAAGCCUGUGUUUACUUCUAAUAAAGGGGAUGCUCCUGGACGAUCCAGAGGCCUCCUUGACACUCAACUGCAGGGCUUCUGUCUUUGAGGAAACCUCAUCAAGCCCAUUUUGCAGGUUUGCUGCUUGUACCUAUCAGUGAAGCAUAAAAUGAGAAUAUUUUCCAAGAUUGGAAUAAUCCAUUUUAAUCCAAUACUACUUCUCUAUGUGCAUCAAUGAAGUAAGAUGGUGAUGGUGUUCCAAGUUAUAAUUUUAGUUCCUUCUCAAACCGAUAAAGUCGAACUUAAGUUGUUAUUCUCAAGGAAUAUCAAUGUCGAUAUUGAUAUUGGGAUUUCAAUUUUACGGAUA
Molecule: long non-coding RNA, 968 nt
Organism: Cucumis melo (muskmelon)
Lineage: Eukaryota; Viridiplantae; Streptophyta; Magnoliopsida; Cucurbitales; Cucurbitaceae
Exons: 2
Source: RefSeq, a predicted model, not a curated record